AAGUAUGUUUACUAGAAGGUCAAUGAAGUGGCUUUGUAUAUAGCGGACUAUUAUGAAAAAAUUCUCGGAUGGAGCUGCUUAGAGUGUUUCAAGAUUUAUUAUUUAUUUUUUUCUGAUGUAUUUGACGGGAGGUGUAUGAGCCAUCGUUUGCAGAAGAAAAAAAAGGAGAAAAAAAAGAGCAGCAUCAUCAGCGUAUCACGCUGCUGAGGCCACUUACCUCCGUCUCCUCCGGCGCUGCCGCCUCCAUCACCUUCUCCAUGAGGGCCGGCGGCGAGCAGGUGGCCGCGCUCGAAACCCUCACAAAACAAUCGGCCCUUCGAGUCGUCUAGUUCUUCUACGGCCUCGCCUGUCCCCGAAAGGCGGCGCCUUGGGACGUCUCUAGUCCGAUUCCGCAUUUGAUCGAAAUAUCUCUUUCUCCUGCAGAGAUGGAUUGGGUUGUGAAGUAUUUUUUUCUUUGGUGGAUGGAGCAAUACAUUCCUUUUUAUCUCGAUGUUGCGCAGUUGAAUCUCUUGCUACAUAGUUUGAUUCGAAAUUUCUUAGGUGGACAUUUCUCCUAUAGCCACAUAGCAGAGGCAGUGUUCGGUUGCAGGUUAUGCAAGGGUUACAGGGGAUGCCCGGGGGAGGAGUUGAAAUGAUAUUAACCCCCUAUUUACUCCACCACCCUCUCUUGUCCAUCAUACAUAUCAUCUUUUUCCUCAACUUAUGUUGCUAACCCCAAAAGUUCAACAAAAUAGGGCUUUUUCCAAGGAUAAAGGAAUCUUGGAGCAUUUAGUGUUGGUUAGGGAUAGCUAACCCAGGUUGCUACCAAUCAUGGCCUUAAAAGUCUGCAAGUUCUUUCUCAUGAAAUACCGUGGCGAAUAAUCUUGUAAGUUAUUUCUUUCUUUAUAGCCAUCUAAAGGGUUUAACAAAAUGAAUUAUGUAUUAGAUGAAGGCAUGUAUCUAGAUGCUAUUAUGCUUUUAAAUGCUGUAGUUGCUUUAAUGAUGCCCACUUGUUGACCCCCUCCUAUAUUUGGCAUUAGUUGUUUACUCAUGGCAAUAUCAAGCUUACACUUUCUCCAUAUUUUUGGCCUUCUUAUCGAUUGCCACUGCUCUUUUAUAUUUUUUUAAGUGUAUAGAGAACAUGUUCAUGAAAGUAAAGUCUACUGUGCUGGAACCGGAGUCUGGACCGGUUGCCCGACGAUACUGGUCGGCAUGCCCCUGUACCAUUCCGUGCCGGGCCCUUACCGACAUAGUAGAGGAGGUAGGAGAUAGGGAGAACGAGAGAGAGAAAAAGAGAGAGAGAAGGGGGAGAGAGGAAGGAGAGAGAAGGAGAGUGGCGGAGGCUGGUAGAGAGCUGGCAGAGGCUGACGAGCUAUGCGGAGGAGGAAGAGGAGGGGUUUUGCCUCUGGGUCCCCUAUUUCAUUCGAAAUAGGGGUCCCGAAUGGGGGCUCUUUUUAAUUUGGCGAUUUUUAAGUAAAGUCGGCAAAUCGCUUUUCGACUUCACUUAAAAUUGCCAAACUAAAAAGAGGUCUCCAUUUUACCGACUUCACUUAAAAAUCGCUAAAUUAAAAUGGAGCCCCUUCUGGGACCCUUGUUUCGAACGAAACAGGAGACCCAUAGGUCGAGCCCCUCCUCCUCCUUCUCCGAGCUGCUCGCCGGCCUCCGGGAUCCUCUGUCGGCCGCCCUACACCUCCCUCCCUCUCUUCCUUUCUCUCCCUCCCGCUCCCUCCACUCGCUCUCUCUCUCCUUUUCUCUCUUUCAUUCUCUUUCUCUCUCUCCGUCGACGGUUUUUCAUUUCAGUUGCCAGAAUCGUUCUGGUCCGCCGCCGGUAUGGCUCCAUAUGCCCCGAACCGUCCGGUUCGGGACGGUUCUACGGACCAUAUAUGAAAGCUUCACUCUAUUGACUUUUGAGGUUUAGUUUUUUCUAAAGAUAAAACAUUUUCGUCUGGAUAGGAACAAGGCUAAUGAGGAGUAUGGUGAGAAAAUUCAAAUCACCAAAAUAAAGAUCCGUUAUUGUAUUCCAAAUGAUAACUUUAAUUAGAUUACUUCUUUGUUUCACUUGGGUUUUCCUCAAUUCUACCUCUUUUACUUCUCCUGAGUUUGAGUGUAAUUGCUUCAUAAUUAUCUAUAGCAAGGUCUGCGGAACCAUCCCAAACCGUCCGAUUCGGAGCAUCCCGAGUCGUACCGGAGGCAGACCGGAAUGGUUCCGACAUUGAUAUCGAGACGCUGUCGUCGGAAGGGGAGAAAGAGAAGAAAAAAGAGAAAAAGAGAGAGCAGGAAAGAGAGGGAAAGGGAGAGGAAGGAAGAGAGGCCGACCAGUAGAGGCCGGAGAGCCUCUGCGUGGAGGAGGCGGAGGCCGGGGAGAUGCUGAGGUGGGGCUCCGCUUCUGUCUCCUGUUUCAUUCGAAAUAGGGGCCCGGAGGGGGGCGCUUUUAUUUUUGCGGAUUUUAAGUUGAAGUCUCUCCGGCCUCCUCCUCCGUAUGGAGGCUUUCCGACUGGCUUCUCUCUUUCUUCCUCUCCCCCUCCCUCUCUGCCCUUCUCUCUCUUUUUUUCUCUCUCUUGUUCUCCCUCUCCCCCGUCUCUACUGUGUCGGUACUACACGACACGAGGCCGUAUCGACCCGUACCCCCGGGCAACCGAUACGGGGCCUAGUCUAGCAAGCGCACAGAAGGGUCAUCAGUCCAGCAGUGUCCGUUCAACCAGAGCUCUCAGCUAGAAUAGUCCCUUCCUACCUGUGUGCGUUGGACAACACAUAUUUUUCGGGUCUCUUUCCGAACUUGAUACUAGCUUCUUCUCUGUCUUACCUUGUUCUUGAGCCCACCGAAUUCUCCUUGUACUUCAUGACAGGUUUGUCUUACCUUUAGAGCAUGAUUCACCUACCUUUGCCUGUGACUCUGCUUGCUUCGCCAAUUAUAGGGAUUGGAGAUUAGCUGGGACGAAUAACCAACUGUAGGGCUUGGUCAAAUCGAUCGACCAGGGAAGGAUAUGGGAAAAGGUCAAACUCCAUAUCAUUUUUUUCCUCAGUUGACAACAGACCUUGGUCUAUAGUAUUACUGCUAGAGGGUAUGGAAGAAUUAUUUUUGAUAGGUAGGCUUUCGGUCUUAUUGUUUAUAGCAAAUAUAUUCUCAAGAUGAUUGUAUCAGAAUCAAAGCCACUAACUUCUGGUUUGAUUACUAAAAAUGUAUAAAUUAUGCUAUUUUGGGAUAGGCUAAGAACAUACAUUCCAUUAUUUUAGGGCUCAACUUCCUCUUUUGGUGGAUGGAACCCCACCAACAGACUAUAAAGAAGUCAAAUUUUAAUUUAUGACACUUCGAUAAUCAAUAGGAAACUUUAUCAGAGGUUUUACAGGGGGCAUAAUUUAAUAUGUGAUAGGCCAUUAACAAAGCUACCACCCACAAGUUGUUGGGUAGGCCAAAAUUAGCUAACAUGGCAUUAAGGAUGUCAAGAAAUAUCCUAUUCCACUCUGCCAUCUUAUUGGGUUGGGGUCGAAAAGGAUGAGUUAUUUCAUGGUUUAUACCCAUCUUCUCACAAAAUGAGAACAUAUAAGUUAAGGUAUAAUCUCCUUCCCUGUGGGGUCUCAAGAUUUUGAUUCUCUUAUCUGACCAAUUCUCCACCUCUAAUUUAUAAAUUUUGAAUUUUUCAAGGUUCUAUGUUUUUCUUAUCAAAAACACAUAGUCAAUAUUCGCCGUCUUAGUAUCGGAUUCCGUACCGAUGCCACACUACCACAAUAUUGGUAUGGUAUGGUACGGAGUUUUUGGGUACACCGAAUGUCGAUACGCCGCCAGUAUCGAAUACUGGUACCGAAUUGGUAUGGUACGGUACACUCUACAUCGUUCAGUACAGGUUGGUACAGCGUACCUUGAAUAUCAUAGUAUUUGGAAGCAUCAUCUAUAAAGAUAUAAAGUACCUUUUCCCUCCUCUGCUUAAGGUAUUAUUCAUAUCAUAUCUUAGUGUGUCAGCUCUAGCAACUCAGAAUCUCUUUCCAAAUUUGUUUAGCCUCAACAGAUGACAUUUCUUACUCAUAUCCAUAUAUGAUGUGGGUAUGAAUUCCAUAGUCAUCAUCCUUUAAGGUAAUUUUGUUCACAUGUCUCAAACUUUCGUGACACAAAUAAAAACAUUUAAUAUGAACAGCAGUAGAACAAUUGACUUUAUUAUGAUUAUCAUAAACUUAUAUCCAACGAGACGGUGAACCUUGGAUAGGAUCCUUCUAAAAGUGAUCUUUAGGUCCACUCAUUCCUUCUUCCACCACCUUUGCAACACUUGAGUUCUCUGCCCCCAUGCCCCUUUCUUCAGUACCCUAGUAGUUCACAUAAAGAGUGACUAGAAAUGAUGUGAACACUUGCACCUAUAACCAAGAUUCGUUUUUUUGGUACCGGAUCUCGUACUGGACCCCGUACCGGCGCCACAUUAGCACAGUGUCGGUACGGUAUGGUACAGAAUUUUUUUGGCGUACUGAGUGUCGGUACGCCACCUGUAUCAAAUACCGGUACCGAAUCAGUACAGUACGGUAUGCUCUGUACCAUCUGGUUCGGGCUGGUACAGCAUACCUUGCCUAUAACAAUCCACCAAUCAUUAGAUGAUUCAACCAGAUUUUUUUUUAGGACAAAUUGUUAUAACCCCAUCAUUGAUGCUAGCAUGGCUAGCAAUGGUGGUCACAACAUUUGCUUGAGCCGUAUGGGUUCUAGUUGCUUGGGCAUCACCCUUCUUAUCCUUCCUAUGGCAACAUUAUUUAGCGAAGUGGCUACACUUUCCACAAACAUAGUAUACCCUCUUAAUUUGGUCCUUUUGAGUCCUAGUGUUGGGUUAGUGUGCAUUCUUUUAUUUCUUUUGGGUGGCCUUUGUCUUGGUUUUUGGUUCUCCACUAGAUUGACCUUAUCAGCCAUUUCAUUUUCAGAUCACUAUUUAUCCAUUUUUGUCUGCUUCACUUCAAUUUAAAAUGAUGCCAAGAGGUCAUCUGGGGUAACUCUCCCUAUUAGCAAUAAUACCAAGAGGUCAUCUGGUGGAAGCUUGUCAAUAAGAGCAGGCACUUGGAGGCAUUCACCCAGUGAUAUCUUAUUUGCAAUAUUGCCUUGGGUGAGGUUCUAGAUUUCAUGGACUUGGUCUAGGACAAAUCUCCAUCUACCAUUUUGUAGUCAAAGUACUUGCUUACAAUGUAUUUUUGCAUUCAGAUGUUCUCUUUUCAAUAUUUAUUUUUUUAAAGAAGAUCAAGAUCUUGUAAGGAUUUGGUAGAAUAGAAGAUGUCAUAGAUGGCCUAGAUAAAGCACUCAAUAUCCUACCAUGGCAAAAAUAAUCAUCUCUUAGGUAUGCAUUUGUAGCAAGAGAAUAUGUCAAUUUGGAUCAUCUCUGGUGGGAGGAUCUUCAGAGAUGAUAUAAGACAAGUUAAGAGUGGUCAGCCAAAACUCCAUUCUACACCUGCCACCUCUUAAAUAAUUGGCCUCCAAAUCUGUCAGGCCUAGAGGAAUUUUCCUCCCCCACAAAAGCCAUAAUAACAAAAAGCAAAGCAGGUAAACCAUAAACGUCUGUAAGAUUGUAAAGAAAAAUUGCUAAGAAUAGCUAAUGUAGGUCUCUAAAGGCAAGGACAAACCGAGAGUAUGUUGAGGUGUGUGGCAGUGUACACCAUGGUGUGUACCACAGUGUACCAGCUUUGCUGCACAGCAGAAAACAGAUGAGAAAUAUGUAGGAGCCAAGGUGUGUUGGGCACUACUGUUAGACAAGUUCUGGCCACAUCCCCAAGCAUUGGUUUUUGGCUCAGCUUCUCUAUGAGAUACAAUGGACCUGAUCUGCACGGGUAAUACUGGCACACCAUUAGAUCCUUAGUAACUCGCAUUGAUGCACCUUUACCCAAGAAAAGAUAGAAUAGUGGAGAAAAACUCAGUGUUAGGUGUGUCUCUAUAUGUCCUCUGCCUAAGGCCUGUCCUGUGUAAAGAAGUCCAGGGAUCUGUAACAUUCCCAAGUGCUUAAUGAUAUAAGGACCUAUUAACACAAUAGAGUAAUGGCACCCCAACAGUCAAAAACCUAUUAACACCUACCCAAUGGUCAUAAACAAUCAAAAACAUGAUAAAGAGAAUUAAUAUUCACUAAUGGUGAUAAAAGAUAGGGUCUUAGGCAUGCAUAACCCAAACCUGCACCCACAAUUGCAGCAAAGCACAGUGCGGCAUGGCUUGUCUCGGCGCGUACUCCCUAAGCCUCCAUAUUGCUCGAGUUCCCUCCCCUUUAUGUGUGGAGGCUUUAGGAGAAGUCUCUAUCCAAUGUGGGCCUAAACUUUGUGAUAGAGAACAAGGACACAAGACUUCCUCAAAAAGGACUCCAAAAGUUUGGAAAUCUUGAAAUCUUCAUCUUGAAAAUUUAUCUCAUAAAUCAAACAACAUAUAACAAAAUGCAGGUUCAUGUCUGAAAUGAAUAUAUCAUUGAAAACAUGGUAUAUAAUGCCAUCUAUUUUUUUUACCAAUUUUAAAAUAUAGAGAUUUUAAAACUUGUUUUAGUUAUUUUUACAGUCAAAAAAGGUUGUUUUUUCAUAUUCUUUAAGUUGUUGUCAUUUUCAGAUUUUUCUUAUUUUAUGAUUUGGUCUUCUUAUUCUUCUUCUUCCUUUUCUUUUUGGGCAUGUUCUUGUUUUUCCUUCUUGGUCUUCCCUUGCACCAAUGUCCGGCAUCUAUCUCUAUGCCUAUUGAAGUAUGGGUGCUAAGACAUUAGGAUGGAAUCUUUUUAUUUCCCAAGUUAUUGUUUUCGAGCACAAUGCGAUGAAGAUAUUCUUUGAGAGUUUCUUAUAAAAAGAUAAUAGAGCCCUGGUUCUUUUUCUUUUCAUCUUCUACCAGCAAUUAUUUCCCCUUCUUGGAAGUAACUGCUUCAUGCAGUCUGGAUCAACUUCUCAAGUAAAGUGCACUAUCACAGGAAAGAAAAAUCAUUAUAUCUUGAGGAAAUCUACCAGAAGUUUUUGCACCUUUUGCGGUGUAUGUUCUCUGAGGACAGCAUGUUCUGAUGUGCCCUGAUCCACCACGCUUCUUUAUCAUCUCUCUCCCUAUCUAUUAGCUAGCUCUUGUCUUCUGUCCUUCUCACUGGGAUAUCAUUCUUAACCUAACAUUAUAGAAUAUGUGACCAACACUUUUAAUCUUGCUGAGGUAGAGUUGAACAAUUCUGGCUAUUUUUUGAUGUACUAAGUAUGUCAUUCUAGUGAAGAGCUAAUAUUGCUGGGUCAGAGUAUUGAUUUACUGAAUUUAACAUUCAAACAAAAAUAAAUAUUGUGGAAGUAUAAGAGAUUGUUGUAUGCUAGAAGGCUGUAAGUGAGACCCUCAAGUACAUUAGUGUUCCUCUUGUGGUUAGGCGCACCUAUCAGAUGUUAUUGUAUGACUAGCUUAUUCGUGUGGCUUUUUCUUGUUCUAAUUAUUUAAAGGUUGAAAUGUGCAUGGGUUGGUCGGCUUAAUAACAAUUUGUUGUGGGGAUGCCUUCCCUCAGCCAACCCUUUCUGGCUUGACUGACAUCACAUUAUUUUCAACCAAGGGUAUGGGAAAUUUAGGAUAUCAUUAGGUGGACCCGUGGAGAGUUGUAUAUAGGUCAGUGAAAGAGGGGAUAAAUUUAAGUUUCAAUGUGGUGUUUACGGUUCCUUCUUUGGGAUGGUUUCAACACUAAAUGUGUUCACUGCAUCAGCUUUUUGAAAAACAUCUGGGAAUACUCAGAAAGUGUUCUGAAUGAUAGAAUGGAGAACUGAAACAUGCAUAUGUUUGAAUUUGGGAAGUUUUUGUAGGAUCAUUUGUGGAGAGCUAUGCUUCAUCCAGAUGUAUUAAUGCCACCAGGUUCAGUAUGUGAGGUUGAUAUGGAUGAGAACUUUGCUACUUGGAUUUUGGAAAUGUUGCAAAAAUGCUGUAUUGGUGUAGCUUUUGUCUUGUUAGACCUCAUUAUUGAUUGACUUCAGUCCCUGUUAUUAUUAGACCAGUGGUGAUGGAUCAAGACAAGCACGAGUUUAGAUGUUGAAACUCCUUUAUGUAAAGGCUGAUUUUUAUUAUGAAGAAUCUUUCCUGAGGACGAAGAUGAGAAAGUUUUCUUGCUUUAUCUAAUAAGACAAAGAUUCAAGUGAAUUGGAACUUUAGAAACUAACAUGGUACUUACCUUAAAUGCAAAUUCACAUGUUAUAUGAAUGUAUUCAUGCAUGUUUUUUUUAAUCACUUGAGUAAAAAUGUCCCAAUCAAUGAAGUUUUGUGCAACCUACAAUAAAAAACGUGUACUCUCCACAUUAGUAAAACAGAAUCUGUACCUGGGAAGCAUCUUCCAUAUAUUAUACAAUCACAUUAUUCUGGCAUUGUUUCCUUAAUGCCUCACCAAACUCUUCCAAGAGUUGCUCAAUGCUUCUCCAUGAUAUCAGCAUGUUAUCAAUAGCAAAUACUCUUAGCUCGUCUUUCAGCUCUGUGAAAAGUAGAAAACAGGAUUUUUUGUUGGAUGAUGAAAGCAAGUGAUCCUAAAACAUUUCUAAUGCUUCAUGUCUCGUGUAUGUUGUGAUUCAUAUGAUUUUGUAUGCAUAAGCAUCCAGUCCAUAUAGACAACCUUCACCCUUAAUGUCUGAAUUUUGUCUUCCUUUCUUUCUUCUUUUAUCCUCUUCUACUAGAGUUACUUAAGAAAAAAAUUUGAAAUUGUAUUGUUGCAUCUGGGAGAACCAUUCUUGACUAAACCAACCUUUUUGACUUAAUUCUAAUAUACUAAUAUUCACAUGAUGUCGUGAGAAACAUAACCGGCCUAGUUGAUCUAGAGCUUUAAGGGGAAGAUAUGUGUUAUUGGUAUCAAAGAAGUGGAGAAAAUUUCUCAUAAGCUCUCCAAUAUUGGUAGUGAUCAAUAUCUCUCUCUCUACAAUACAAUAACUAGUUAGUCAACAUUAUAAAAUAUUCACAAACAGAAUAUUGAAAUAUUCUAAGAAAAUUGGAUAAUACUUUGAAUUCUUUUGGUUAUCAUAAUACCUUGAACAACCAUGAGUAGCUGAAGUUUUUCUGGUUUUGAAGUGUAACGAGAAACCAUCAACCAAAGAAGCAUAAAACAUGUUGCAUGGUAUGCCCUAUCGGUAGGUAUUGGUGUGUACCGGGCAUACUAUACUAGUACCAAAUCAGUAUGCGGUACUGAGGGCGCACCAAGUUUUGAUAUACAAAACCAAUGCUCAUACCGGAUAGUACCAACACUAUACCAAGAUGUUACUAGUAUGGAGUCCGGUACCUCAGACUACAAACCUUUGCAUGUUGCUUGAUAGUUAUGUCCUAUUAGUGUUCUUUUUUGGGAUUUUUUUGUUAUGUGGAGCAUGCAAGAAGUGUAAGUGUGCUAUUAAAUGAAACUAGUAAUGCUUAAUGUAGGAGAGAACACCAUGAUGUAGAAACCUGUUCUAUCUUGUGAAAGAUGAUUUGAGGUAAAUUUACAUUGGUUGAAUCCUUUUAAGAAGAAAAAAUAGUAUGGCAACUAUUUAUUGACAAUUAGGCAGUACCCGAUAAAGAAAGUAAUUUCAGAAGAUCUAGUCUUUUAAAAGUUAACCAGGUUAAUUUUCCAAAACAGGCAACAAUAUUUAUAAUCAAAUUUAGAUCAUGCCAGGCAUCAUGUCAUUUCACCAUUCCAAAGGAUUGACAGUUAGACAACUAUCAACUUAUAUGGAACGAAGACCUUUUCAAUUACAGUAGAAAAGGUAAUGCUGAAUAAUUACUUCUAUGAUGAGCAUAGAAACAAAAAUUUCUUCACCUUGAAACUGAAUGACCUCCUGAGCAGCCAAAUCUUCAUGUUCAAGAAGUUGUUCAAUUGAGAUUCCAAUAGAACUCAUCCCAAUAUGGGAUACUGUUAAUCUAAAACCAGCGGUAUUAUGAAUUCCUGGUUGCAGAUGUUAUAACAAAUGACUGUACAAUUAGAAAGAUAUUUGGAAGAGUUAUAGAUCAUAUUCAUUUAAGAUAACUUGAAUAACUCAGUUUCGAAUAUAAUAUUCCAUAUUGCAAAACAGAGGAUUCCUUGUAAAAAGGAUUCACUCCCAAAAAAGUUAUUCCUUACAUACUCAGUUAUGGGAUACUCGGAUAUUAUUUUCAUGCAAUCAGUCAAUGGAAGUAGAAAAAUUGUGUAAAUGAAGAUUGUACCUGCAACUCUGCUCCACUUCUUGAAAUCCCUAUGGAGUAUAUUGCUCACCUUAAGAUCCGAUAUAUCAAAUGUUUUGUAUUUCACUGCAUAUUAUAUUGUCUUUAACACAUGAAUAUAAUAAAUGAGAAGUUAAGGAUAGGCAAGAAGCCUUUUAAAGAAACAGCAUGAGCAAUAUAUUUUUUUUGUAUCAUACAAUGCAAGAACUACUACACAUUGAAUUUGAUUUGGGGAAUCAUCUUUUAAGUCCCAAGACUCUUCUGUCAUGAAUAAUAGCUUCUAUUUUGUACUCAUUAAACUUCAUUGAAGUUGGCAUCUGAUUUAUAAAAUGAUCUAAAGCUCAUCGAACAAAAAACAACCAUAUGACAUCAUUAUAUGUGGUGAUAUCCACUAGACAUUCUGACUGAAGAGGUCUUAUCAUUCAAACCAAUUUGUUAUUGGGAUGAUACAUAUGUCUGUACCAAGGUUUGUCGUCUCAGUACUGGACCCCGUUUGGUACCAUCCUAUAAUAGUAUUGGUACGCAGUACGGUAUGAGACAACUAGGUAUAUCGAGUGUCAGUGCAGUACGAGCCUACAUACCGGUUCGGUACCGGUACAAUACGAUAUGUUUUAUACGGUACAAUAACGAUCGAUAUGGCAAACCUUGAUCAGUACAAAAAUUAAAUAUUAAGAAUUUUUAAAUUUGGUGAAGUCCAUUGCAUCCAAAUCAGCCAGCUCCUUUAAUCAAUAAUGUUGCCAUAUAUUUAUCUUUAUAUGUGCACUUAGCAUUUGUCAGGUUUAGUGUGUUCAAGAUGAUACCUGAGAGCUGCACCCAGUUAAGAUGUACAAAAGUCAGUUAGAUAAUAAAAUAAGAUCAAAUGAGCUUCUUGACAAAAUAAAUUGAUGUCAAGUAUUGUUCUCGUAUAUCUGUUGUAAAUGUCAUUAUCUCAAUUUAAUUGAUAAGAAUUUAAGCUAUGAGGUUAUCGCUUGCAAAAUAUUGGUAUUAAUUGACCAUAAAUUUGUACGAAAUUUCUUGAAAUUUGCAGAAUUUGAGGUAAGUUCUAUUCGAAGUUGAAUUGGUAUGAUUUAGUGAAAAAAGAAAAGAGUGUACGGAGUUAUAAACAGCAUAUCCAUAUAAACAUGGGAUUUUUGUUAGCGAUAUAUGGCCAAAAGACCUAAUAUGUACUAGAAGUCUGCUGAAUCCCUGCCUAGCUAGAAUUCCAGGUGAUGUAUCUGCAAACUUUUCAGCAACAAGUGUACAACACGAGCAAUCCUAUUUCAGCAAGGUACGCAAACUGCUCUAGAUCAUGCAAAGUGUAGAACAAGUAUGAUAUGCCAAACUGCUGAAAAUAAGUGUUAUAAGCUUUUUCAUUUGUCAUUACGUGAGGUUCGCCAUCUUAGUAGCGAACCCCAAUACUAAUACCAUCCUAUUACAGUGUAAGUAUGCCUGAUACGGUAUCCGGUUCGGUGUACCGAGUAUCAGUACGCCUUCUGUACCAUGUACUGGUAUGGAAUGGUAUGGUUGGUGCAUAUUGGUACCGUCCGAUAUAGCAAACAGUAAACAAAAUAUUAUUUGACUGACCAACCCAUUUGCUAAAAAAGCAAGUACAGCCACUUUUAGAUUUGAAAUAUAAAUGAUUAAUUGUGGUAUAUUAUAUAAAAGUCUAAUUGGGCAAAAUGUGGACAAAUAGAUAGAAAUUUCUUGCAAGGUUCUGGUUUUCUUCCUGUGAUCAUUCUUUCAUAUGGUAUUCAUACUUUAAUAGGUCUGAUAAUAGUACUUAAGAACUUGCCUUCACCAGCAUAUGCUAACAAGUUAGUGUUAUUGUUUAUCAUUCUUUUAUCUGCUGUUCUUAUUGUUACUAUUGUUCUUAUUACUGUUACUACUAUUACUACUGCUGUUGUUAUUGUUGUUGUUGUUGCUGCUGCUGCUGCUGCUAUUUAACAAUAUGUUGUUCCUUCAAGGAGGAGCAGUCUAUUCUGAAGGGCUAACUCUUGGAGUACAGAUUUAGAUGAUAGCAUCUCAACAGUGUAAAUGUUCAUGUUCAAGUGCUUAGCAAACUGGUAGAGUUUCAACUUUCAAGGAAAGAAAUUCACUGAAUCCGAUUCCUGUGAUUGCUCUAA
Long non-coding RNA from Phoenix dactylifera (date palm), 12159 nucleotides. RefSeq lists it as uncharacterized. Lineage: Eukaryota; Viridiplantae; Streptophyta; Magnoliopsida; Arecales; Arecaceae. The record is from RefSeq and is a predicted model, not a curated record.